RNAcentral lists this long non-coding RNA (993 nucleotides) under Homo sapiens (human). RNAcentral's name for it is "HSALNT0368192". Lineage: Eukaryota; Metazoa; Chordata; Mammalia; Primates; Hominidae. The record is from RNAcentral.
CUCUACUAAAAAUACAAAAAUUAGCCAGGCGUGGUGGUGGGUGCCUGUAAUCCCAGGUACUUGGAAGGCUGAGGCAGGAGAAUCUCUUGAACCCAGAAGGCGAAGGUUGCAGUGAACCGAGAUCAUGCCAUUGUACUCUAGCCUGGGUGACAAGAGCAAGACUCCGUCUCAAAAAAAAAAAAAAAAAAAAAAAGAAGUAGAGACAGGGAGACAGGGUCUCACUGUGUUGCCUAGGCCGGUCUUGAACUCCUGGGCUCAAGUGAUUCUCCCACCUUGACCUCCUAAAUUGUUGGGAUUACAGGUGUGAGACAGUGCACCUGGCCGAAAUAGCUCAAGUUUCUGAAAAACAAAUCUGAAUCUAUUUGUUAUUCUUAGCGUCACUGGUCUGGCUUUCAGAAUUAACAUACAAGGUUGCCACACCUAGUUCUGCCCAGCUUUAUGUCUUUUAUUCCAGUAUUCCACCAAAGUUUGUUUUCCUGCAUUCCAGUUCUCAAGUCUUAAGAUAAAGAUUGUACUUGACAGUUUAGUAUAUCCAUAAAACUAUUUGAGGUGGUUAAGGUUCUUGGGUUCAUUUUCCUUAAUACUUUGCUGAAUAUUGUAGAUUGUAGGCAAUGAAAAAGUCUACUAAAUUAGGAAAACCUUGAAUAAUUAGGUAUCCUAGGUAAGAGCCCCUAAACAUCAAGCAAUCUGUGAGUCUGUAAAGAAAUAAAUAUUUUUUGGAUUAUUCUUAUCUAAUUCCACCCCUGUUGGAAGAUGAUUUCUUUGUUCUUUGCAACUAUGGAAGCUGUGAAAAUCAUCACAAGUGCCUCUGAAAGCGAGUGUUAGGUUGGUUAGAGGGUUUAAUAUUUUCUGCAAUGGUUUGUAGGAAUUUUAAUAAAUGUAGUAUAUUUUCUGAGAUGAUUUUGUAAAAGUACUAUUUUAAAUAUCAAAUCAACCAAUAAAUUCACAUUUGUGUUAGGAACAGAAAUAUGGUUUAUAUCUUUGCUGGCUUGG